Molecule: long non-coding RNA, 521 nt
Organism: Homo sapiens (human)
Lineage: Eukaryota; Metazoa; Chordata; Mammalia; Primates; Hominidae
Gene: GORAB-AS1
Product: GORAB antisense RNA 1
Source: Ensembl
UCCCUUACCCUGACCCUAACCUUCCAACCGUUGAUUCCUGCAGCAAUCUUCCCUAAGGGAGACACCCCGGCUGUAGGCUCACUUCCUCUCCCAAGUCCCAUUCCUUUCACAAGAGUCAAAUCCCUACAGUGGAUUCCUGGACCGUUUUUUCUAAAAGAAGAUCCCAGUCCUCUGGCUUGCCCCUCCCGUCGUGACUCCCAUAUUUGAUGGGUCUGAAUGAAAAUCUGAUGAAACAGAUGUUACUUGAAGCUGAGUGACUUUCUCAGGGUCAAGCAAAUAAGUAAAUGGAGGAGCCAGAAUUAUACCCCAGGAUCCCCAUCACAAGGAGGGGAGGGCUACCAUCCCAGCUGCAAACUCUCAUUCAAGGUUUAUGCUGCAGCCAGCAGUGUCCUUGGAGUCUAGUUCAAAGCUGAAGAGAGUGAACCAUGGAACUGGGAGCCAUUGGCGGAGAGGCUGGCCUGAAGGAAGGGAAGUGUUUCAGCCAGAAUGUACUGACGCACAACCAGGAAACCACAAGACUG